GGGACUCUAACACAGUCAACGCUUUUCUAAAUCAAGGUAAAGUCUGCUGGAAUUUCAAAGAGUGCACAGUGAAUGCUAAGCACUGGGGAAGUUGGAUCCCAGGAAGCAAAAAUACUUUGGCUUACCUUAUGGACUACUUGGAGGAAAUAAAGGUUCAUCUGUGAUCUGUCUUGGGGAGUAUGCACACUUGAUUGCAGCAUCGAGUGGACAGCCAACAACCUAGAUGGCUUUAAGAAGGGUUUGGAUAACUUCGUGGAGGAGAGGUCUAUCAACGGCUACUAGUCGGAGGGCUGUGGGCCACCUCCAGCUUCAAAGGCAGGAUACCUCUGAGUACCAGUUGCAGGGGAGUAACAGCAGGAGAAAGGGCAUGCCCUCACCUCCUGCCUGUGGCUUCCAGCAACAUCUGGUGGGCCACUGUGCGAAACAGGAUGCUGGACUAGAUGGGCCUUGGGCCUGAUCCAGCAGGUCUGUUUUUAUGUUUUUAUGUUCUUAUGUGCAUGUGUGAAUGAGUCAUUGUAGAUCUAAUACCGCAGAUGGAGCCUUUGUAUUGAUUCACAACAAGUGCUUUUCAAUUGAA
Molecule: long non-coding RNA, 577 nt
Organism: Hemicordylus capensis (graceful crag lizard)
Lineage: Eukaryota; Metazoa; Chordata; Lepidosauria; Squamata; Cordylidae
Exons: 2
Source: RefSeq, a predicted model, not a curated record